This 2955-nucleotide long non-coding RNA is filed under the name Mus musculus (house mouse). Its description in RNAcentral is "long non-coding RNA chr11:51404486-51407441". Lineage: Eukaryota; Metazoa; Chordata; Mammalia; Rodentia; Muridae. The record is from RNAcentral.
ACAUACCCAUUCCUAACAGCAAGGAAAUACAGGAAAUGUAAGCUUGGCCGGAUUUUCUUAUUACAGAAGAAGGGCAAAAUUAACUCCAGUGACAGUUGCUACUUGGAGCCCUAUUCACAAUAGUUGUAUACCCCAUCAUGCAGUUCCUGCCAAGGACGAACCACAUGUGUGAUGGUAGAAGCCCCAAAUGGUAAUACUGGAAUUGAAAACAAAGGGCCUGUGGUCAGUGGUACACUGAUUGCCUAGCAGUACAAAGAGAAAGAGAAAUGUCAGUGACCUGGUGAUGUGGUGGCCAUGGGUGCGUCAUGACUGGGACGAUGCAAUAGCACGGAAUGGGCGUAUAUAUUUACUGUACUUUUAAAUCUUUACUUCUUCUACCCACUCUAAAGCUUGCAAUGGCAUAGGCUGGUGGCGGCCUCAUUCAUGUGGUGUUUACAUAUCCUUGGAUAGCAUCAGGGACAGUGCCGAAUGAUUGGCCCUCACUGUCUCCCUCUAUGGGAGCUACUCUGUGAGGUCUAUAUGAUGAUGAUGUCACCCGAGGGAGGCCAUAGUACACAGACUAUGUCCAGUUGUCAGUGACUCAUGACUGUGUAUGAAAAUGACACGUCCCACCUAUCACCAGAUGGCCUCAACUGAACCAGCCUGUGACCUCCAUUACAGGAUGUUCAGGAGGUUGUCAGGGAAUGGCAUUGUCUUAUUCCACUGAAGGGACAGAAGGGUGUGUGACUGUGCUAUCUGGGCCACCUUAUCUGUUCUGGGAACUGGCUUUGGGAGGGUGUAGUAGUUUGAAUGAGUAAAGUCCCCAUGAGCUAGCACACUGAACACUUAGUCUCCAGAGAGUGGUGCUGUUUGGGAGGUUAUUGAACAUUGCAGAGGUGAGCCUCACUGGAAGAAGUACAUCACCGAGGGCAGGCUUUGAGGGAUUAUAGCCUGACCUUCCUUCCUGAUCUCCCCAUCUCUCUCUGUCUGUGUCUGUCUCUCUGUGUGUCUGUCUGUCUUCCAUCUGUCCUCAUCUCUCUUUGUCUCUAUGUGUGUCUGUCUCUCUGUUUCUCUGUCUCUCUGUGUUUCCCUGUCUCUGUCUUUCUGUCUCCCUCCUCUCCAUCUGUCUCUCUAUGUCUUGUUCUCUAUGUGUGUCUUUCUGUCUGCUGUCUGUCUUUGUCUCUUUGCCUCUCUCUAUUCCUGUCUAUUCCUCUGUCUCUCUGUCUCUCCAUGUUUGUCUCUGUGUGUCUCUGUCUCUCUUUGUCUCUCUCUCUCUGUCUGACUCUGUCUGUCUCUCUGUCUGACUCUGUCUCUCUCUCUCUGUCUCUCUCUCUCUUCCCGCCCCCUUUCUAUGUGUAGAUGCAAUGUGAUCAGCCAGCUUCCUGCUCCUACCCCAUUCCUUCCCUGCCUGUUGCCAUGGUGGGCUCCAUCCCUUUGGAACCUGAAGCCAAAAGAAACCUUUCUCUCUUAAGUUGUUUCCCAUCAGGGGGUUCUAUCACACUGUUGCUAAAACUUUUUUCUAGAGGGAGCUGUAGACAACACCCUAAGGUUCCUGUGACAACCUGGUGCAUGGGUUCACUACAGUUCACUCAGUGAGUUCCUUGGGCUUCCUUACAAGCAUAGGUGAGGGGUGACUUACAGGAAUGUGGGUGCUCCUGCCCCAACAAGGCCACACUGGAAGGUCCACUCAUCAGGAAGGAGAGCUUUCCCAUAGCUGCACAGAUGGAGCCCCUCCCCUAGACUUCCCUAGCGUAUAUAGUCUAGCCCCACACCAAAGCCAUGUGUAAUUCAAGCAGAAUUGCAUGUGACUUGUUGUUUGGAAUGGCUGGAGAAGCAGUCCACAGUUCCAACUUGGAUAAUCUUUUAUAAGUGGGCCCAGAUGAACUCCCCAAGAUGGUGGUUGUUUGGCUUGGAGAAGUCAUGAGAAAAGGGGCUUCCUUAUCCUGGUAAGUAGACAUGAUGAUAGUGAGCUAACCUUGAAUCAGAGAUCUGAUAUCUACUGAGGUAAAUGAGAUACUAAUGAGAGAGUUAGGGCUUCCAUGCCAGUUACCCAGUACGUGCCCGCAAGUGUUAGCUGGUGUCUACACUGAGGUAGGUGGAAGGACAAAUCAUGUGGGUCCAGCCAGCAAAGCUUCGCUCUUAUCCCCUAGUGAUGCACAGUGCGGCCAUCUUCCUCCUGCACCAGGGAUGUGGAAGGGGUGCCUUGUGUGUAAUCGUUUUUAGACACUGAUGAAGACCAGACAACAAAGGCUCCACUGUCUCUCAGGCCGCUUGUCUAAUUAGGGAAAAUAUCAAGUGAAAAGGUGGGGAGGAAGGGGCCGAGUAGCGUGUUUGGUUGGAAAGCUGUGUUUAGGCCGAGCCAGCUCUGCCUUUAAUUAUGCUGUCUGAGUUGACUUUAAUGGGCAUCAUUGUUAAUGCCUUCAUUCCAAGGAAGGGAAAAUAGUACUCUUCGCAUCUGAGCACAUAAAACAGCCUGGUUCUUAAGCUGCCCAUCACAGUGCUGGCCAGAAGGUGGGCUGCUGGCUGCUACCGGAAAACGGGAGGAUCCUGCCAUGUCUUCACCACCCAGACUGUUGUCACAAAAGUACCUUAGACUAAUGUGUUCCUUUAUCAUCGCUGUGACCAAAUAUAUACCUGACAAGAAGGAAAGAAGUAUGAAUUUGUCUCGGGUUGGCAGGGCACAGUCUGCCCUGGGAGAGGGAGCAGGACGACGACAGGAGCCAUUCAGACUGUGACCAGAGAGUAAGUGCUAGCCACAGAGAGCUGGUACCCGGGCCAGGAGAGAUGCUCAGCAGUUCAGAGCACUUCCUGCUUCUGCAGAGGACCAGAGUUCCUCAGGCCGCUCACACAACUGCCUGUCACCCCAGCUUCAGGGGACUGGGCACCUUCUGGCUCCCGGUGGUACCAUCACUCACAUGGACACAUGCGCAUGCGCCUGUGCAUACAUACACAUAUAUUCACAUAAUCUUAAAACUU